AUUGAACGCUGGCGGCAUGCUUUACACAUGCAAGUCGAGCGGCAGCGCGGGGCAACCUGGCGGCGAGCGGCGAACGGGUGAGGAAUACAUCGGAACGUACCCGAGAGUGGGGGAUAACGCCGCGAAAGCGGCGCUAAUACCGCAUAUUCUCCGAGGAGGAAAGUGGGGGACCGCAAGGCCUCACGCUCACGGAGCGGCCGAUGUCGGAUUAGCUAGUUGGUGGGGUAAAGGCUUACCAAGGCGACGAUCCGUAGCUGGUCUGAGAGGAUGAUCAGCCACACUGGGACUGAGACACGGACCCGACUCCUACGGGAGGCAGCAGUAAGGAAUAUUGGACAAUGGUCGGAAGACUGAUCCAGCCAUGCCGCGUGAAGGAAGAAGGCGCUCAGCGUUGUAAACUUCUUUUGGAUGGGAAUAAUAACCUCUACGCGAUAGGGGCUUGAAGGUACCAUCAGAAUAAGCACCGGCUAACUCCGUGCCAGCAGCCG
RNAcentral lists this ribosomal RNA (488 nucleotides) under uncultured bacterium. Its description in RNAcentral is "bacterial SSU rRNA". It matches the Rfam family "Bacterial small subunit ribosomal RNA", at positions 29 to 517 of the family's 1533-position model. The record is from RNAcentral.